GAGGGUAUAGCUCAGUGGUUAGGGUGCAUGCUUAGCAUGCAUGAGGUCCUGGGUUCAAUCCCCAGUACUGCCA
This 73-nucleotide transfer RNA is filed under the name Camelus bactrianus (Bactrian camel). It matches the Rfam family "tRNA". Rfam says of the family: Transfer RNA (tRNA) molecules are approximately 80 nucleotides in length. Their secondary structure includes four short double-helical elements and three loops (D, anti-codon, and T loops). Further hydrogen bonds mediate the characteristic L-shaped molecular structure. tRNAs have two regions of fundamental functional importance: the anti-codon, which is responsible for specific mRNA codon recognition, and the 3' end, to which the tRNAs corresponding amino acid is attached (by aminoacyl-tRNA synthetases). tRNAs cope with the degeneracy of the genetic code in two manners: having more than one tRNA (with a specific anti-codon) for a particular amino acid; and 'wobble' base-pairing, i.e. permitting non-standard base-pairing at the 3rd anti-codon position. The record is from Rfam by way of RNAcentral. Lineage: Eukaryota; Metazoa; Chordata; Mammalia; Artiodactyla; Camelidae. RNAcentral also lists the same sequence under 2 other names.